UAGUUUGACUGGGGCGGUCUCCUCCUAAAGAGUAACGGAGGAGUACGAAGGUGCGCUCAGCGUGGUCGGAAAUCACGCGUAGAGUAUAAAGGCAAAAGCGCGCUUAACUGCGAGACCCACAAGUCGAGCAGGUACGAAAGUAGGUCUUAGUGAUCCGGUGGUUCUGUAUGGAAGGGCCAUCGCUCAACGGAUAAAAGGUACUCUGGGGAUAACAGGCUGAUACCGCCCAAGAGUUCAUAUCGACGGCGGUGUUUGGCACCUCGAUGUCGGCUCAUCUCAUCCUGGGGCUGAAGCAGGUCCCAAGGGUAUGGCUGUUCGCCAUUUAAAGAGGUACGCGAGCUGGGUUUAGAACGUCGUGAGACAGUUCGGUCCCUAUCUACCGUGGGCGCUGGAAAUUUGAGAGGAUCUGCUCCUAGUACGAGAGGACCAGAGUGGACGAACCUCUGGUGUACCGGUUGUGACGCCAGUCGCAUCGCCGGGUAGCUAUGUUCGGAAGGGAUAACCGCUGAAAGCAUCUAAGCGGGAAGCCUACCUCAAGAUAAGAUUUCCCUAGGACUUUAUGUCCUCUAAAGAGCCGUUCGAGACUAGGACGUUGAUAGGUUGGAUGUGGAAGCAUAGUGAUAUGUGAAGCUGACCAAUACUAAUUGCUCGUGAGGCUUGACUAU
Molecule: ribosomal RNA, 665 nt
Filed under: Acinetobacter baumannii
Lineage: Bacteria; Pseudomonadati; Pseudomonadota; Gammaproteobacteria; Moraxellales; Moraxellaceae
Description: partial 23S ribosomal RNA
Rfam family: Bacterial large subunit ribosomal RNA
Source: RNAcentral